UCCAAAUCGGAAUUCCACCGAUUUGGCUAACUUCUCUCUCUUUCUUCCUAUCUCUCAAGAAUUGUCAAACAUGGAUGCUGUCUUUCACCCUUUCGCCUUUUCUUUUUCUCAGAAAGAAUAAAGAACCAGCAGCCUUAGGUUGGAAUAUCUUCAGUCCCACUCUAUGCUAAGUAAAAUUUCAAUCGAGUCUACUUCUGAUGUAUCCAGUUACCAAUCGGUCUUCGAUUUUUCGGAUCGUUGAAGAACUGCAAGUCGUUUCACAUAUGGAAAUUGGUGUAUUAGCGGAUCAGCUCAUUACAAAGACAAGAAUCUCAAAUCGUGCUUCUAAAUUUGUAACGAUAUGAUGAAGAAAUCACAGCAAAUGAGGAUGGUGCUCAUCCCAUUGGGAUGAAUGGAACCAUGGGAGGGCAAAUCGAGGAUGAUACUCGCCUCAAACUUCUAAUAGGCACGAUAUGUUCUCUCUUUCAUGCAUUUUUUAUCGACCCGGGUUUCAUUUUGGAGGCCCUAUAUGAGCAUAUAGUUGAGAGCGAGUUGUUAGAUCACUUGAGCUAAGCUAAUUUCUGGAGUCUAAUGCAUUUGCGAGAAAACAAAGUAUUAGUCCCUUUCUGGAUAGGAUAUAUCGCAUAUACAAGUUGCUAUUUCAGUCGUGUCGUCCCAUCUUAGCUAAUUUAAUUUAUUUGUACGACUUUAAUUGUGAAUAAUUUUUGUUAAAAAAAGUCCAAAUUUUUAUUUUGAA
Molecule: non-coding RNA, 736 nt
Organism: Punica granatum (pomegranate)
Lineage: Eukaryota; Viridiplantae; Streptophyta; Magnoliopsida; Myrtales; Lythraceae
Source: RefSeq, a predicted model, not a curated record